CUGGAGAAAUGAUGAUAAAUCAGUAUAAAUCUUAGGACACCUUCUGACACACCUGUGUAUGAGAAUGACGUGUUGUUCUGAUCUUCAG
This is a non-coding RNA of Brassica napus (rape), 88 nucleotides long. The record is from Rfam. NCBI's taxonomy places the organism in Eukaryota, Viridiplantae, Streptophyta, Magnoliopsida, Brassicales, Brassicaceae.